CCAACAUGGGCUAAAUCAGUCACGGGGGUCCCCUGGGUGGACCACAGGGACUCGUUCACUGCUCCUCUCUCCCCUCCUCAGGGACAGGGGCAGCUGAGGCACAGCAGGCCGGCACUAAAGGCCCACUCUCUCCAAGAUCAUCCUCUCCUAGAGCUGCAGAGGUUGCCAUGGAGACAGACAAUCACAUUGGCCCACGAGUCAGCUCACACCCAGGACCUCAAAGGGUACCCUCUUGCAGUAAGCACUGCUGGCUGCCCACCCAACCGCCCUUACCCCCUUUUUUGCUCCUGGAACUCUUGUGUCACAGGCCAAUCCUGAUGAGUCUACGUUGGUGAAGUGUGAGCCUCCCAUUCUCCUUGCCAGUGAUUGGCUUACAGGUUCCCUUCAAAUUAAGUCAUCUCUUCUUCAAGGCUCAGUCAUAUAAAUUUCAAAGGACACGUGGCCAUGCUCCAUACCAGAAAGGUUUGAAGGAGGUUUAACAACCUCAAGAAACUCAGACAAUCAUCCAGUGCCUCGCCCAGCAGGAAAGUGCUGAAGCGGGUGGGGUGACUGGUCACCAAGCAAGGCUCAUGCGGAUGGGCAUCGAUAAAGACAUCGAUAAAGACGUGGUUACCAUGGCAACCAUCACUUCUAACUUCUUAUCAAACCACAUCCUGUGAACAUGAGGGAGCAGAGCCGAAGUGAGAGCCAGAGACCCUGCAUCCUUCCUUAUUCUACUCUUGCUACCAUUCCGCACCACUACCGUGCCUCAGUUUCCCCCAAUUUAAAGUGAGACAAUACUUCUUUACCUUUCAUCUGACCACGGACACUUGGGAAGCCAUGCCUAGAGGAGGCUUCACCCCUCAGUGAAAAGAGACCUCAGGGAGACCUUGUUCUCCCUGAGCCUUGUACAUUCAGAUUUUCUAGGAGUUGAACAGGUAAGAGGUACCUGAGUAAGAGGUAUAAUAUUAAUAAUUCUACCGCCUGCUCUAUGACUGUCCAUGUGAUGUUGGGCAAGUCAAUCUCUCUGAGCCUCAGUUUCUUUAUCUCUAAAAUGGGAAUAACUAUUUAUGCCCUCUCUACUUUACAGAGUUAUGGUGAGAGCUGUACAAGGUAAUGUUGUGGAAGCAUUCUGAAAGAUGUAAAAUCUCACAUAAAUGGAAGGAACAAAUAUUGCCUUCCAUUUAUACUCCCUCCUCUUAAGUUCCUCUAAAUCAAUUUAUAGAUGAAAACCCGUUAGCCUGAAGAGUUCCAGCACCACUGCUUUCCUUAGAAUACUGGUUCUCAAGCCAGGUGUGGUGGCUCACGCCUGUAAUCCCAGCACUUUGGGAGGCUGAGGUAGGUGGACUGCUUGAGGCCAGGAGUUCAAGACCAGCCUGGCCAACAUGGUGAAACCCCAUCUCUACUAAAAAUACAAAAAUCAGCUGGGUGUGGUGGUGUGUGCCUGUAGUCCCAGCUACUUGGGAGGCUGAGGCACGAGAAUUGCUUGAACCCAGGAGGCGGAGGUUGCAGUGAGGUGAGAUUGUGCCACUGUACUCCAGCCUGGGUGACAAGGCGAGACUCUCUCUCUCAAAAAAAAAAAAAAAAAAAAAGGCCAGGCACUGUGGCUCACGCCUGUAAUCCCAGCACUUUGGGAGGCUGAGGUGGGUGGAUCACAGAUCAGGAGAUUGAGACCAUCCUGGCUAACAUGGUGAAAUCCCGUCUCUACUAAAAAUACAAAAAAUUAGCCGGGCGUGGUAGCGGGCACACGUAGUCCCAUCUACUUGGGAGGCUGAGGCAGGAGAAUGGCGUGAACCUGGGAGGUGGAGCUUGCAGUGAGCCAAGAUCCUGCCACUGCACUCCAGCCUGGGUGACAGAGUGAGACUCCAUCUCAAAAAAAAAAAAAAAAAAAAAAAAAAAAAAAAAAAAAAAAAAAGAGAGAGAGGGAAGAAAACAAAGAAAGAAAGAAAAAAGAAUACUGGUUCUCAGUUGAGGCUGUGUAUUAGGAUCACCUGGGAAUAUCUGAAAACAACAUUGUUGCCUUGGCCCCAUCCCCAGAAUUUCUGAUUUAAUGGAUGGGGGGAAGGGGGUGUUUUCAAAGCUCUGCAGGUGAUUCUAAAGCUCAGAACAGUAAAGGCUUGGAACCGCUUCAGAGCAGCAUGUCUCAAACUUUAGGGUACAUAAAAAGUACCGUAAUAAUCUCCACUUAUUAAAGUGGAGAUCCUAAUUCAGUAGGAUUGGAGCAUAACGCCGUGCUGUUCAAAGUGCAGUCUGUGGACCAGUAGCAUUGGAACUACCUGGGUGCUUGUUAGGAAUGCAGAAUCCCAGGCCCACCUUGGACCUACUGAAUCUUUCUCUGGGGGGUGGUGCCCAACAAUCUAUGGAUCACACUGUCUUGGUGAUUCAUCAGUGUGCUAAAAUCUGAGACGCAUUUGCUCAGUGGUUUUCAAAUUUUGGUCUAGGCCAGACAUAUGAGUGUCACUUGGGGGCUUCUUAGAAAUGCAAAUUCUAAGGACUACAGAAUCUGAGUCUCUGGGGAUGGGGUGCAGAAGCCUGUGUUCUAAGCAGCCCUUCAGCACACUCAAGAUGUUGCGUCCAGUCGCUUCUAGUGCACCAGUCUGUGUAGCACUCGCAGUCCAUAGAUUAGAGAGGUCAAAGGAGGGAAGGUUCGCACCUUCCUCCUUGAGCUGCACCAGAAUUUCCUCGUUAAGGAAUUUCCUCGUUAAGCUGCACCAGAAGGCAUCCAGGAGGCCAGGCCGCUUGUCGGUCUAUCUGGAGUUCAGAUUUAUCGAAGGCAAACAGUCCUCUAACCUCCAUCUGGAGCACCCUCUGGGACAGUCAAAUCCUACCCUUUGGGGUAAGAAAUUGGCUUCCCCAGGCUCUGCCCCAGUAUUAAUCCUGCUUUGCUUGGUGCGCACCAUUCCCAAAAAGCUUUCCACUUCCCACCUCAUCUGUUCUUUACGACCCUGCCAGGUAAGCAGUUAUCAACCCCAUCUUAGAAAGGAGGAAUCGGAGGGGGAAGGAGAUUCAGCCACAGCUGACAGAGGUCCUGGCCUCCUUCUAUUUGUCCCAGGGACAAUGUCUGUCCAUAUCUGCAUUUGUCCUGGCUUCUCUCUCUGACACACACACACACGCUUCUUCCAGUGGCUUCUGGAAAAAAGAAUAAGCCCCAGAGUGAAGAGCUACCAGCCACCAGCUGAAUGUUUGGGCACUUGAAUUUCAAUCUAUGUUUCUGGGCUGUGCUGCUUUGGACCCGUGGUUCUGGAGCUGGGCUGGGUCCCCUGAACCUGUGGACAUCUGGCAGCCUAAUGCUGGGCUGAGUCCCAGGCAUGAGGGAGGCCAGAAGGAUAGGGCAGAUUGGGUGAGAGGGGAGAUAGUGAAGAGCCAACAAGGACAGAGGGAGGGCUGAAGCCAGAGGCCCCAGAUGGGCCGGCUUGGCAAAGGAGGGCCUGGGAUGCAAUCCGCCGGCAGGCUGGGGCUGGAGAGGCACUGUUCUUGAAGAGCCUCAGGCCUGCUCUAUUAAUUCUAGCUCCUUUGGUUUUGGAAUUGAUUUCCCUGAGGGGUCUCCUUAGCCCUGGAAACCUCCCUCAGGGGCUUGGCUGGUAAAGCUGCUGAAGUCUGGAGGGGAAUAUACAAGCUGAGCAGGGCAGGGACAGCCGGCCUGGCUGUCAAUAUCAAGGCAAUGCAGGGCUGGCAUCUUGUUUGUGAAACGGGUCCCUUAGGCGGGCUCCCCCGGGGAGCCCCAGCUCUUCACAGACCAGCUGCUCCCCGCUGCCGGCUGGUGCAAUCAGAGUCUGAGAAGCAGAGCCAUAGCAGGCAAGAGCCCACCUGGAGGUACCCAGCGUAGAGCUGCUGCACGUGGACACUCCACAACCCAAGGACGCUGUUAGUGAAAAAACUGAGGAGUUGGGGGAGGGAGCAGAGGCAGGGGUGGGGGACAUUUUCCAGGGCCUACCCCAGAUGGGUCAGGCGGCUGUUCCCUGAGAGCCUCAUAUCCUGACAUCACGCCACGCCCAGCUGAGAGGUAUACAGACCCCCAGAGGUUCACUAACAGGGUUCAGAGAAAGCGCUCCUCUGACAACUUUAAUCUUGGUUCCCAGUGUCGGACCCUGUUGAUUUUAAUGGGCCAAGACCCAAUCGUUUUGAUAAAUCCUAUGAUUACCUUAUAGCAUUGUAACUGUUGUGUCAUUUAUAUAAACACUUAAUAUACAUCACAUAUUUUGUGACCCUAUUUCAGCAUGUGUUUCACUUUGGUAUUGCAGGACCUCUCAUGCAGCCGCCCAGGGCCAGUUGCCCAGGUUCCCGUUCAUCUCUGAGAGGUGCUGCUGUUCUAAAUUUCCUCCCCAUUCCCUAAACCAGGGACAAACAAAUGAGCAGUGACCCGUGCCCUGGAAGAGCCUGCCUGGGCACUGCAGUCUGGCCCUGAGUGGUCCUCAGUGUUGUGUGGGCUUGGAGAAGACUUCUGCCAGGUCACUGGGUUUCAGAGGGCGAGGAUGGGAGCCUGCGUAGAGCCAUCCUCAGCCCUUUGUGGCCUCUGUUGUUAUUUUCAAAAUCCUCAGGGUCCACAUAGAUAAGGAACAGGACUCAGUCCCUGUGAGAGGCUUUGAGCACCCCCUACGUCACCUGGGCCACUUGGAGGUGGACAGAAGCCCAGAAGAGUAUAGGCAGAUCCCCCCACCUGGAGACAUAUACAUAUUUCUUACAAGGGAAGAAAAGGUGUCUAUCACAUUGUUUUCUUCUUAUAUCUUUAUUUAUUUAGUUAGUUAUUUUUUUAAAGAUAGGGUCUGGCUCUGU
This is a long non-coding RNA of Homo sapiens (human), 4752 nucleotides long. RefSeq lists it as uncharacterized. NCBI's taxonomy places the organism in Eukaryota, Metazoa, Chordata, Mammalia, Primates, Hominidae. The transcript has 5 exons. The record is from RefSeq and is a predicted model, not a curated record.